RNAcentral lists this ribosomal RNA (278 nucleotides) under uncultured bacterium. Its description in RNAcentral is "partial 16S ribosomal RNA". It matches the Rfam family "Bacterial small subunit ribosomal RNA", at positions 524 to 796 of the family's 1533-position model. The record is from RNAcentral.
UACGUAGGGUGCGAGCGUUGUCCGGAAUUAUUGGGCGUAAAGAGCUUGUAGGCGGUUUGUCGCGUCUGCUGUGAAAAUCCGGGGCUCAACCCCGGACUUGCAGUGGGUACGGGCAGACUAGAGUGUGGUAGGGGAGACUGGAAUUCCUGGUGUAGCGGUGAAAUGCGCAGAUAUCAGGAGGAACACCGAUGGCGAAGGCAGGUCUCUGGGCCACUACUGACGCUGGAGAAAGCGGAAAAGCAUGGGGAGCGAACAGGAUUAGACUACCCGCGUAGUCC